UACGUAGGCAGCAAGCGUUGUUCGGAAUUACUGGGCGUAAAGCGUGCGCAGACGGUUGCGUAAGUCAGAUGUGAAAGCCCCGGGCUCAACCUGGGAAUUGCAUUUGAGACUGCGUAGCUAGGGUGCGGAAGAGGGAAGCGGAAUUUCCGGUGUAGCGGUGAAAUGCGUAGAUAUCGGAAGGAACACCAGUGGCGAAAGCGGCUUCCUGGUCCAGCACCGACGUUCAGGCACGAAAGCGUGGGGAGCAAACAGG
RNAcentral lists this ribosomal RNA (253 nucleotides) under uncultured bacterium. RNAcentral describes it as "partial 16S ribosomal RNA". It matches the Rfam family "Bacterial small subunit ribosomal RNA", at positions 524 to 776 of the family's 1533-position model. The record is from RNAcentral.